This 428-nucleotide ribosomal RNA is filed under the name uncultured bacterium. Its description in RNAcentral is "partial 16S ribosomal RNA". It matches the Rfam family "Bacterial small subunit ribosomal RNA", at positions 354 to 796 of the family's 1533-position model. The record is from RNAcentral.
GUGGGGAAUAUUGGGCAAUGGGGGCAACCCUGACCCAACAACGCCGCGUGAGGGAAGAAGGUUUUCGGAUUGUAAACCUCUGUCCUAUGGGAAGAAGGAAGUGACGGUACCAUAGGAGGAAGCCCCGGCUAACUACGUGCCAGCAGCCGCGGUAAUACGUAGGGGGCGAGCGUUGUCCGGAAUUACUGGGCGUAAAGGGUGCGCAGGUGGCCUGACAAGUCAGAUGUGAAAUACCGAUGCUUAACGUCGGGGCUGCAUUUGAAACUAUGAGGCUGGAGUGCAGGAGAGGGAAGCGGAAUUCCUAGUGUAGCGGUGAAAUGCAUAGAUAUUAGGAGGAACACCAGUGGCGAAGGCGGCUUUCUGGACUGUAACUGACACUGAGGCACGAAAGCGUGGGGAGCAAACAGGAUUAGAUACCCUGGUAGUCC